Meriones unguiculatus (Mongolian gerbil) is the source of this 237-nucleotide long non-coding RNA. RefSeq lists it as uncharacterized. Lineage: Eukaryota; Metazoa; Chordata; Mammalia; Rodentia; Muridae. The transcript is spliced from 2 exons. The record is from RefSeq and is a predicted model, not a curated record.
GCAGAAACUUUUUUGUUGUUUUUGUCGUGACAGGGUUUCUCUGUGUAGCUCUGGCUGUCCUGGACUCGCUUUGUAGAGCAGGCUGGCCUCGAACUCCUGAGACGUGGGGCCGCUAUUGCCUGGCGUGAAGCGGACUUUUAAAAGGUCCUGAUUUCAAUUCCCAGCAACCACAUGGUGGCUCACAACCAUCUAUAGUGAGAUCUGGUGCCCUCUUCCGGCAUGCAGGAAUAGAUGCAG